Molecule: long non-coding RNA, 2867 nt
Filed under: Panax ginseng (ginseng)
Lineage: Eukaryota; Viridiplantae; Streptophyta; Magnoliopsida; Apiales; Araliaceae
Description: long non-coding RNA (PGIN_LNC001144)
Source: RNAcentral
AAGCAUCUUAUUAUAUCAAAUGAAUUAACAUAAUAUCCUUAUAAAACAAUUGCGGAACAUACAUUACUCCCAAGGUUUGAAAACCUUAACUAAUACACCACUUAACAUUACUUUAUAAUAUAACUAUUGUUCUAAUAUUACAAAAUUUCUUCUAACUUUAACUUCUUCUUUCCCUCGACGAUACCAAAUUCUUCGGUCUUCUCUGGCUUAGCUGUAAUUUUAUUAGAAUUUGAAAGAGUGAGCAUUUAAUUAACUAGUUGAAUAAACAACAGAAUCAAGAAUCAAAUCAAUAUUCUUUGAAAACUCCAAUAAACAAAAAUAAUUAUGGAGUAGCUUGAAUAAAUAAAAAUUAAAUCGGAUUCCUACCACUUAACACCUUCCUUACCAUUUUAAGAGAAAACACUCUCUAAUCCUUCUAAGACUCAACUCAUCCUAACAAAUACAUAUGUGGAAAGAAUCACUUUCUCAACAUAUACAUAAGAACAACACGACACAAGUGUUCAACAGUUAUCAAUGUAGUGAAUUGAGUGUUCACAAAUCCCCUGCCCAUACAAAGGUUUGUUUAACUCAGCUACCACACAUCAACGAUCAAAAAGCAUAUGAUUGUACUCACACUUAACCAUAGUUAACAUCGUAACAUCUAACUAAUUGAAAUUAUUUAUAUCAACUCACCUUGAAACCAACUUGUCUCUGUUCUUCUCUAAUACUCAACAUGUGUCCAAUGAAAAUAAUUAGCAUGAACUAAUCAUAACAUAACUCAUAAAUUAAUCAGAACUUUAAUAAUCUGAACAGUUCAAAAUUAGAACAAUAAUUUCACAUAAACACAUAAGUGCAUAUAUUGGCAAACAGUGCAAUUCAUAGUACAAUUAUAAUACAAUUGCACACAAAACUCGCAUUUGAUUCACAAUUUGAAUUAAAUUAGAAGACUUGCUCAAUAAAAUUUGAGAAAGUUCAAGAAACUUGCUUGAAGUGUUCUUUAAUUUAUACGCUAAAUCUUCCUUCAAUCGAUAACCUACAUCAUCCAUGAAAAUUUAUUUGAUUAAAUUAAUCAUCACCUAUAAUAUAUAAUCAUCGACGGUAAUUAUUGCAACCUAUUUUGAUAAUUAAUCUUCCAACUUAAACCAACGUAAAUGUCUCCUCAAAUUAUUUUUAUAAAAUUCUCAUAAAAAAAUUUGAUUAACCUUUAUAUAGACUCAUACACCACGUAUCAACAUAUUUUAGUCGGUAGAAAUUAUUUCAACGACUCCCGACUCGUCGAUUUUUAAUUACUUUCAUUCCGUUGAAAGCCUAAUUCUCCCAUUAAUCCUUCCUAACCACUUAAUUAUUCUUUUCUCUUUUGGAAAUACAUACUUACAUAUAUUCAACACAUAAAAAUAAUUUUGUUAUAAUUUUUCAAAUUUCUAAUGUAUUUUUCAAAGAGCCAUUUUAGUUCGUAACAUAGCAAAAUUAGCUAUAUCAUGCUCAACUCCAAAAAUUCCCAAAUCUUGGAUAAAUCUUAAACAUAUUAACAUGAACUACCACUUUAAAUUUUGUGGCCAUCGGAGUUAUAGAACUCAAGUUAUAGCAAUUUUUGUCGAAAAAAAUCCUAAUAUUGAAUUAGCUAUAUCUCCUUUCUCCUAAGUUAGAAUUUGUUCAUCUUUGGACCAGAACUUCAUUAUACCAUAUAUUUUUAUGUCCCAAAAGUAAUUAAUUUAUUUCAAUGCUAAGUAGGUAAAAAAGCCCACGAAAAGUUUAGAGCAACCUACUUUUUGGCUUUUCCAGUUUUGGUCAAAACUAUCCAUACGAAAAUCUAAAAAGAAUUUUUCAAAGCUUCCAAUUGGAGUUGUUAGGGAACUCAUAGAUAUAACUCCAGAACUUGAUCACACUUAAAAAUUCAAAAUAGUCUAGGUGUUAUGCUUGUUCAAAUUUUAGUCUUUGUUUUCUCGAAAAACAAUUUUCUACUAACUUUUGUAGUUUUGACUAGUCUCCUUCCGAAAGGCAUAUCUCUUACCUCUGGACUCGGAAUGAGAUCAUUAUUACGUCAACAAACUCUUUACUUAACUUACUACAUAACCCCUAAAUAGGAAAAAAUUUCCAGCAAACCAUUUGGUACAGAAAACUACUCAAGGGUCAGGAGUUACACUAAUUUCGUAUUUAACUAGUUUUACUUAAAAAUUCGUCAUGACUUCGUUACAAAAGCUUUUACUUCCGUUCCAAUAGGGUGAUGUUCAUGAAUCAUAAAAGUAUAACAUGAAACCCUAUAAAUUAAUUUUUAUAUUUCAUAAGCUACCUCAAAAGGUCACCAAAACAGCCCAUAACAUUCCACUAAUUGUCCGUUCUUGUAUUCCUUUACGCAUAUUCUCAUUUUUUAUUCCACUUUUCAUGCAAUUUAACAAGUAGUUUAAGAUGUUUAAACCACACACAUCCUUAUUUCUCCAAGAUAUUUUAUGAUCUUCCAUAAACAACAACCACCAACAACUAAGCAUAAUAAAAGGCUUUAAAUGAUGAAGUAGAAGUUAGGGUUCAUAGUCUUACCUUUCUCUUGCUCUUCUCUUUCCUUGAUCUUGGUUAGGACUUGAUAAAUCAAAGCUAGCUUCCCUCUCCUCGUUGUCUGAACCUCAUAAGAGGAAAUGAAUGAACAAAUGAACAAGUAACCAAGUGUUGGAUUAAUUAAUUCCCCCACCAACUUAAUCAACCGUGCUACCAAUGUUUAACAACACAUGAUCAAUUAACUUAUGCCAGAAAAAAUAAUAACAUUAAAGCCAUGUUUGGUUUGAAACAAUUGGGUGGAGGGAAUAAACAUUAAAUGACUUGCUUCCUAUGGACCAUAACUUACCAAAAAUGGAAAGUUUCCAUCCAACUCUCCUUCUCUUCUCAUGCCAUCCGUG